CGUAGGUGAACCUGCGGAAGGAUCAUUACCGAGUGAGGGCCCUCUGGGUCCAACCUCCCACCCGUGUCUAUCGUACCUUGUUGCUUCGGCGGGCCCGCCGUUUCGACGGCCGCCGGGGAGGCCUUGCGCCCCCGGGCCCGCGCCCGCCGAAGACCCCAACAUGAACGCUGUUCUGAAAGUAUGCAGUCUGAGUUGAUUAUCGUAAUCAGUUAAAACUUUCAACAACGGAUCUCUUGGUUCCGGCAUCGAUGAAGAACGCAGCGAAAUGCGAUAAGUAAUGUGAAUUGCAGAAUUCAGUGAAUCAUCGAGUCUUUGAACGCACAUUGCGCCCCCUGGUAUUCCGGGGGGCAUGCCUGUCCGAGCGUCAUUGCUGCCCUCAAGCACGGCUUGUGUGUUGGGCCCCCGUCCCCCUCUCCCGGGGGACGGGCCCGAAAGGCAGCGGCGGCACCGCGUCCGGUCCUCGAGCGUAUGGGGCUUUGUCACCUGCUCUGUAGGCCCGGCCGGCGCCAGCCGACACCCAACUUUAUUUUUCUAAGGUUGACCUCGGAUCAGGUAGG
This 557-nucleotide ribosomal RNA is filed under the name Aspergillus fumigatus. RNAcentral's name for it is "eukaryotic LSU rRNA". The stretch from base 214 to 367 matches the Rfam family "5.8S ribosomal RNA". The record is from RNAcentral. Lineage: Eukaryota; Fungi; Ascomycota; Eurotiomycetes; Eurotiales; Aspergillaceae.